GAGUUUGAUCCUGGCUCAGAACGUACGCUGGCGGCACGCCUAACACAUGCAAGUCGAACGAAGUAGCAAUACUUAGUGGCAGACGGGUGAGUAACAUGUAGGUAUCUUCCCUUUGGCCUGGAAUAACACGAGGAAACUUGUGCUAAUACCGGAUAAGUCUUCACAGAGAAAGCUUUAUGCACCAUUGGAUGAGCCUGCACUUGAUUAGUUUGUUGGUAGGGUAAUGGCCUACCAAGACUGUGAUCAAUAGCUGAUUUGAGAGGAUGAUCAGCCACAUUGGGACUGAGACACGGCCCAAACUCCUACGGGAGGCAGCAGUGGGGAAUCUUGCACAAUGGAGGAAACUCUGAUGCAGCGAUGCCGCGUGAGUGAAGAAGGCCCUUGGGUUGUAAAGCUCUUUCGUCGGGGAAGAAAAUGACUGUACCCGAAUAAGAAGGUCCGGCUAACUUCGUGCCAGCAGCCGCGGUAAUACGAAGGGACCUAGCGUAGUUCGGAAUUACUGGGCUUAAAGAGUUCGUAGGUGGUUGAAAAAGUUGGUGGUGAAAUCCCAGAGCUUAACUCUGGAACUGCCAUCAAAACUUUUCAGCUAGAGUUUGAUAGAGGAAAGCAGAAUUUCUAGUGUAGAGGUGAAAUUCGUAGAUAUUAGAAAGAAUACCAAUUGCGAAGGCAGCUUUCUGGAUCAUUACUGACACUGAGGAACGAAAGCAUGGGUAGCGAAGAGGAUUAGAUACCCUCGUAGUCCAUGCCGUAAACGAUGUGUGUUAGACGUUGGAAAUUUAUUUUCAGUGUCGCAGCGAAAGCGAUAAACACACCGCCUGGGGAGUACGACCGC
RNAcentral lists this ribosomal RNA (832 nucleotides) under uncultured bacterium. RNAcentral's name for it is "bacterial SSU rRNA". It matches the Rfam family "Bacterial small subunit ribosomal RNA", at positions 9 to 889 of the family's 1533-position model. The record is from RNAcentral.